CGGACGGGUGAGUAACACGUGGAUAACCUACCUAUAAGACUGGGAUAACUUCGGGAAACCGGAGCUAAUACCGGAUAAUAUAUUGAACCGCAUGGUUCAAUGGUGAAAGACGGUCUUGCUGUCACUUAUAGAUGGAUCCGCGCCGCAUUAGCUAGUUGGUAAGGUAACGGCUUACCAAGGCAACGAUGCGUAGCCGACCUGAGAGGGUGAUCGGCCACACUGGAACUGAGACACGGUCCAGACUCCUACGGGAGGCAGCAGGC
Molecule: ribosomal RNA, 263 nt
Filed under: uncultured Staphylococcus sp.
Lineage: Bacteria; Bacillati; Bacillota; Bacilli; Caryophanales; Staphylococcaceae
Description: partial 16S ribosomal RNA
Rfam family: Bacterial small subunit ribosomal RNA
Source: RNAcentral